RNAcentral lists this ribosomal RNA (601 nucleotides) under Kocuria sp. YIM M11428. RNAcentral's name for it is "bacterial SSU rRNA". It matches the Rfam family "Bacterial small subunit ribosomal RNA", at positions 78 to 690 of the family's 1533-position model. The record is from RNAcentral. Lineage: Bacteria; Bacillati; Actinomycetota; Actinomycetes; Micrococcales; Micrococcaceae.
GCUUGCUGGUGUGGAUGAGUGGCGAACGGGUGAGUAAUACGUGAGUAACCUGCCCUUGACUCUGGGAUAAGCCCGGGAAACUGGGUCUAAUACUGGAUGCUACAUGUCACCGCAUGGUGGUGUGUGGAAAGGGUUUACUGGUCUUGGAUGGGCUCACGGCCUAUCAGCUUGUUGGUGAGGUAAUGGCUCACCAAGGCGACGACGGGUAGCCGGCCUGAGAGGGUGACCGGCCACACUGGGACUGAGACACGGCCCAGACUCCUACGGGAGGCAGCAGUGGGGAAUAUUGCACAAUGGGCGAAAGCCUGAUGCAGCGACGCCGCGUGAGGGAUGACGGCCUUCGGGUUGUAAACCUCUUUCAGCAGGGAAGAAGCCACAAGUGACGGUACCUGCAGAAGAAGCGCCGGCUAACUACGUGCCAGCAGCCGCGGUAAUACGUAGGGCGCAAGCGUUGUCCGGAAUUAUUGGGCGUAAAGAGCUCGUAGGCGGUUUGUCGCGUCUGCUGUGAAAGCCCGGGGCUUAACCCCGGGUGUGCAGUGGGUACGGGCAGACUAGAGUGCAGUAGGGGAGACUGGAAUUCCUGGUGUAGCGGUGGAAUGCG